Molecule: ribosomal RNA, 356 nt
Filed under: uncultured bacterium
Lineage: Bacteria
Description: partial 16S ribosomal RNA
Rfam family: Bacterial small subunit ribosomal RNA
Source: RNAcentral
CCUACGGGCGGCAGCAGUGAGGAAUAUUGGUCAAUGGACGAGAGUCUGAACCAGCCAAGUAGCGUGAAGGAUGAAUGCCCUAUGGGUUGUAAACUUCUUUUAUAUGGGAAUAAAAUGUUCCACGUGUGGGAUUUGGUAUGUACCAUAUGAAUAAGCAUCGGCUAACUCCGUGCCAGCAGCCGCGGUAAUACGGAGGAUCCGAGCGUUAUCCGGAUUUAUUGGGUUUAAAGGGAGCGUAGGUGGGUUGCUAAGUCAGUUGUGAAAGCUUGCGGCUCAACCGUAGAAUGGCAGUUGAAACUGUUAGUCUGGAGUACAGUAGGGGUGGGCGGAAUUCGUGGUGUAGCGGUGAAAUGCUU